CUUCCCCGCCGGGCGGGCUUCCGCGAAUCCCUGGCACCUCGGCGGGAGACCAGCCGUGCGGGCGGCCGGGCCGCGCGUGCCCCGCGCCCGUCGAGUACAGGUUUCCCCGGGAAGAUUCGCCGGGCGAGGGACGGGGACCCCGUUCUCCCCCGCCUCGCCGAGUAGCUCUCGGGCACCUUAACUCAUUCUCGGCCACCGCUUAGGGCUUUAUAAGUCGUUUGCUGUACACCGCUGGCUUCCACGUGGGGGAAAAAUGCUAUCCAAAAUAGCUGCCAAGAGAAAGUAAGGCUGGGUGAGGUCGCUCUGUCCGCUAUAGACGGGCGUGUCAUGUUAUCCAAAGGGAUGGUUGGCUCCGAAGCCACUGUCUUCUCGUUCACAGGAAGGGGCAGAACACAGCCUGUGAAAGUGGGAAGAUGACAGGGCCUGGAGGAGGAAGACCCUGUUUCUGAGUUCUUAGAAGGAGAAUCUGGAAUACGUCACUUCAUUUCCUUCUGACCUGUAGAAUCUCCUCUGAGCGCACAUUGAGACCCCUGUGGACCCAUGCAGUUGGCAAGAAGCCUGAGGCCCUCCAGAAAGCAAGCAUUCCUGGGCACACUUGAACUCACCUGUAAAACACCUCCUUCUAAAGACUGCCACUGGAGAAAACGGCCGCUGAUAUCAUAGGAGGCAGCAACAAACUUCAGUUUUGUGUUCUGAU
This is a long non-coding RNA of Ochotona princeps (American pika), 697 nucleotides long. RefSeq lists it as uncharacterized. NCBI's taxonomy places the organism in Eukaryota, Metazoa, Chordata, Mammalia, Lagomorpha, Ochotonidae. The transcript has 4 exons. The record is from RefSeq and is a predicted model, not a curated record.